Molecule: ribosomal RNA, 498 nt
Filed under: uncultured bacterium
Lineage: Bacteria
Description: bacterial SSU rRNA
Rfam family: Bacterial small subunit ribosomal RNA
Source: RNAcentral
GAUUAUGGCUCAGGAUGAACGCUAGCGACAGGCCUAACACAUGCAAGUCGAGCGGCAGCACUUCGGGUGGCGAGCGGCGCACGGGUGAGUAACGCGUAUGUAACCUGCCCAUGAGUGGGGGAUAGCCCGGUGAAAACCGGAUUAAUACCCCAUGACACCAUUGUCUGACAUCAUUUAAUGGUUAAAGAUUCAUUGCUCAUGGAUGGACAUGCGUUGGAUUAGCUAGUCGGCGGGGCAACGGCCCACCGAGGCUACGAUCCAUAGGGGUUCUGAGAGGAAGGUCCCCCACAUUGGUACUGAGACACGGACCAAACUCCUACGGGAGGCAGCAGUGAGGAAUAUUGGUCAAUGGGCGGAAGCCUGAACCAGCCAAGUCGCGUGAAGGAUGAAGGUAUUAUGUAUUGUAAACUUCUUUAGCUGUGGAGAAAUAAGGUGGUCGAGACCACCGAUGCUAGUACACAGAGAAUAAGGAUCGGCUAACUCCGUGCCAGCCGCAGC